Non-coding RNA from Leptonychotes weddellii (Weddell seal), 666 nucleotides. The record is from RefSeq and is a predicted model, not a curated record. Lineage: Eukaryota; Metazoa; Chordata; Mammalia; Carnivora; Phocidae.
GUCAGCCAGGGCUGGCUGGCUGCAAAGUCUUCCUUCCAGAACGCACAUAAUCCGGGUUUCAGCACACGUCACUCUGGUGUCCCUACACCACCCCCGCACAGUAGGGACCCCUGAACCCCAAAGGGUGUUUGGGCAUGUUGCUCUAAUUCUCAUCUGAAUGCAAAGCUUCCCUGGGAGGAAUUAGUCUCUGGCCGCAAACUGUUGAUGUCUGUCACAGGCUGCUGCCCCGGAGGGGGGCUCUCAGGGCCCGGCACCCACCACCUGCCUGUCAGCGCAGAACUGAACGAGGGAAGAGCCAGAGUGCAGCCCCGUGUGCGCACGAGCCGUCCCCGCCAGGGUGUGCCAGACAGGUACUUCGUCAUGCACAAUUCCCAAAGACCGACCAGCCUGUGGCGCCGCUGGCCUCCGUGUUCCCAGGACGGUUUCCAUGUUCAAGAUCCUUCUCUGUGCCUCAGCAGCCCCAUCUGUAACAUGGGAAAGCAGCUGGCCAGCAGCCCAGGGAGAAUCCCCCUUCCGGAAGGCCUCGGUCCCAGGAGACCAGGAUGGGCUGUGGCAGCCCGGGCAGCAGGACGUCUGCCUCCGAGCGGGAGGGCCGGACAGUCUGCAGAGAGUCUCUCGAUGGGCCUUACAUCUUGAAUAAAUUGCACGUUGGAAUUUAACUUGGAA